UACGGGGGGGGCAAGCGUUGUUCGGAAUUACUGGGCGUAAAGGGCGCGUAGGCGGCCUUCUAAGUCGGACGUGAAAUCCCUCGGCUUAACCGAGGAACUGCGUCCGAUACUGAAAGGCUUGAAUCCGGGAGAGGGAUGUGGAAUUCCAGGUGUAGCGGUGAAAUGCGUAGAUAUCUGGAGGAACACCGGUGGCGAAGGCGGCAUCCUGGACCGGUAUUGACGCUGAGGCGCGAAAGCGUGGGGAGCGAACAGG
Molecule: ribosomal RNA, 253 nt
Filed under: uncultured bacterium
Lineage: Bacteria
Description: partial 16S ribosomal RNA
Rfam family: Bacterial small subunit ribosomal RNA
Source: RNAcentral